ACCCAACAGCUAGCCCGACCUCCUAAAGCAAAUUACCAACAUCAAUAAACCCAUAAGCACUAAACUAAGAAAACAAACCAUUUUUCCCUCUCAGUAUGGGAGACAGAAAAGAGACUAGGCGCAAUAAAGAAAGUACCGCAAGGGAAAGCUGAAAGAGAAAUGAAAUAAACCAGUUUAAAGUAUAAAAAAGCAGAGUCCAGCCCUCG
This 206-nucleotide ribosomal RNA is filed under the name Labroides dimidiatus (bluestreak cleaner wrasse). RNAcentral's name for it is "partial 16S ribosomal RNA". Lineage: Eukaryota; Metazoa; Chordata; Actinopteri; Labriformes; Labridae. The record is from RNAcentral.